UGAAACCAAGAGCAAAGAUGGAGGCGCCUGAGAGUUAGAGCUGAAGAAUUUCGAGAGCAAAAUCGAGAAGAGAUUGAAGGGGUUUCGGUAGAUUCAUGAAACUGAGAAGAUGAAAAUGAUGAUUUAGUCAGAAAUUGAUCGAGAUGAUGAUGCUGUAACUGUUGAUUGAAGCACUGAUGGGGUUUAAAUUAGGCUUUGUAUAAGCUGUGAACAAAAUGGAUUUGAUGGCAGGAAUCUGUGAAGUGAUGAGAACAAUUUGGGCUGAGUGUGGUUGAGAAGUUCAGAAGACAGAUCCAGUGAAGAAUAGAAGAAGAGUUUGCUGUUGAGAAUCAGAGAAAAGAGUUCAGAACGGAUCUGGGGUUUUAAUUAAACAUGAGUUCUACCAAGAAUCAAGAAAUAGAAACUGAAAUUCAAGGCAAGGAUGAGCUCAGGGGAAAUUGGUUAUGCGGAGAUAUGUUGAUAAGAUUAGGGUUCACAAGGUGAGCAGAUGGAAGAAUGGGGUGUUGUCUGUUUAUGAAGCUGUUGUCUGAGAGAAGAAUAUGAAGUUGGGUUUGCUCUUGAAAUUGGCAGUUGGGGUUUGCUUCAAAUUUGGUGUCUCAUCCAAGAUUACCAGAAGAGAGAAAUAAGCUGAUGUUGUGUCUGGAAUGGAGAGAGGGUUGUAAUGUUGCAGGAGAAGAGAAUGGAGCAGUUGUUGUUGCAAGGGAGUAGAGAUGACAUUGCAGCUGAAUGACUGAACUGAGGCUAGAAGCGGAGUUGCAAGGUUUUGAAGAUGCAGAAGCUGAGCAGCUGGAGUUGUGGGUAUAGGCUGCAGUUGAGUAUUGCAGGUGGUAUGAGGAUGGAAUUGAGCAUGUGAAUGACUGAGUAGUGAGUACAGAUUGGUGGUGGUUCUGAUGUAGAAUUGAUAAUGUCUGGUGGUGCAGAUAAGCAGAUUUAUUAGAUGUAUGUUUUAGGUUGAAAGGCAUUGCAGGUGGCCUAAAGGUUAUGAGUUACAUGAUAUGUUGCUGCUGUUGAAACUGAAAAUGAACCUGGCGAUGUUGUGUUGCUGACCUAAGCUGGAGCGGUUCACUAAUGAAGCUGUAUGGGAUUGCGACGAGAGCAAGAAGAUGGAGAAGACAAAAUCUUUGAUGCAGUAUGGAUGAAUGCUUAGGUUACAGGGUUGCUAUGACUCAGGCUGAGAGAUUGUAGGCAGUGAAAUCUGAGUUGCAGUUGUCGACAUUAGAGCUCGAGUUGUGUGUGUUGAGCUGAUUGCAGUGCAAGUGGCAUUUGAGUACUGGUGGUGUAUCUGCAGUUGAGGCAGUUUCUGCAAUUGAAGAUUGUGAAGCUCUGAGUACAAGCUGAAGCAGGUGGUGGAUGAAUAAAUGUGGUGUAGGUGCAAGUGCAGAUGGUGGAAUUGUUGGUGAUGUUAUUGCAGUGUCAUUGCAAUGGAGUCUAGAUUUAGUGUGAUCUGGUAUUGCGGGUAGUAUUGGUGUAGCUGAACAGAAAUGGCAAUGAGUCGCAGGCUGAGUGUUGCUGCCAUGGAGUAGAAAGUAUUGAACUGCAAUGGACUAAGACAGAGGUGACUUCGUGUGAGAAAUGGUUAUUUGCAGAAAUUGAAAGAGAGAAGCUACAACUGGUAGAGAUUUAUGGUAAUGGUUGCUGCCAAGGGACUGAUGAUGCAGUUGUGUUGGUAUUGCUCGUAAUUGAGAGACUGAGACAGGGAAGAAGAAAUGAAGAUUGUUGUGUAGAGCUGAAGCUGCAAAUGGUUAAGUCAUGCAUUUUUUAUGAAACUGGUGGUCCAUCAUUGCUACUAAGGGUCAUCAUGGCGCAACACAACUCAGGCAGUGCAAAUGGCUUUGGCCAAGACCACUCAGCUCAGUCAGGCUUGUUAGACUCUGACUCAGGUAUGACUAGACCACCUGACUCAUAUGACCCGGUUUGACUCAGUGACUUUGACUGAGUUGACUGACCCGCAACCAGGAUGGACUUUGCCGGUCACCUGAAAUACUUUAUCCGGCCAAGUUCCGACCACUUUACCAGUUUUCCGGCGACUACUUUUGGAGCAUAUUUUCUACGUGGGUAUUUCUCACAUAUGGGUUUGGUGGACAUCUUUGUAUUGGACUUUGGAGAUUGGACCUAAUUUUAGAAGUUGGAGAAAAGCUACAAAAGGAAAGUUUUCUAAAACUUUGGGGAUAUCACGUAUUUUCUAUUUGGAGCUUUGGAUAGAAAAGAGGAGAUGGAAAUAGAAAAAUGUAGAUGGUUUUGAUGUUAACCAAAUGAUCGAUGUUUCACAUAUCUGUCUGAAGGCCACUGCCAGAAUGAACCUAUCCUAAUGGACUGCGAUAGCGGUCUGACUAAUAUCAACACACUGGCAUAUACAAGGGUACCAGUGGUCGAUAACCUAACUCUAGGUCAACACAACUGGCAUAUACAAGGGUACCAGUGGUCGACUUUAUUGAAUUUAUUCCUUUUGGUCAAA
Long non-coding RNA from Papaver somniferum (opium poppy), 2455 nucleotides. RefSeq lists it as uncharacterized. The record is from RefSeq and is a predicted model, not a curated record. The transcript has 2 exons. NCBI's taxonomy places the organism in Eukaryota, Viridiplantae, Streptophyta, Magnoliopsida, Ranunculales, Papaveraceae.